UACGUAGGGUGCGAGCGUUAAUCGGAAUUACUGGGCGUAAAGCGUGCGCAGGCGGUUCGUCGUGUCCGAUGUGAAAGCCCCGGGCUCAACCUGGGAAUGGCAUUGGAAACUGGCGGACUCGAGUGUGGCAGAGGGGGGUGGAAUUCCGCGUGUAGCAGUGAAAUGCGUAGAGAUGCGGAGGAACACCGAUGGCGAAGGCAGCCGCCUGGGCUAACACUGACGCUCAGGCACGAAAGCGUGGGGAGCAAACAGG
RNAcentral lists this ribosomal RNA (253 nucleotides) under uncultured bacterium. RNAcentral's name for it is "partial 16S ribosomal RNA". It matches the Rfam family "Bacterial small subunit ribosomal RNA", at positions 524 to 776 of the family's 1533-position model. The record is from RNAcentral.